This 87-nucleotide non-coding RNA is filed under the name uncultured Aeromonas sp. Lineage: Bacteria; Pseudomonadati; Pseudomonadota; Gammaproteobacteria; Aeromonadales; Aeromonadaceae. The record is from RNAcentral.
UAAUGGUGGCUCGGGCGGGGCAGCCGCGAGGCUGGCCGGUUUCCUCUGGGUUCGCCGGUAUUCCUACCCCCGCUCGGGCUACCGCCA